Ananas comosus (pineapple) is the source of this 919-nucleotide long non-coding RNA. RefSeq lists it as uncharacterized. The transcript is spliced from 2 exons. NCBI's taxonomy places the organism in Eukaryota, Viridiplantae, Streptophyta, Magnoliopsida, Poales, Bromeliaceae. The record is from RefSeq and is a predicted model, not a curated record.
UCCUCUCUCUUUCUUAAUCUCUCUCCUAUCUGACGCUACGCCCGCACCCCUCCUUCUCUCUCUUCUCUCUCUCUCUAAUUUUCUCUACCUUCUCUCUCACUCUCUAGGUCUAGCCCUACCUACAUAGGCUGCAGUCGAGCCGCCCUUUUGCCUUCGCCUACUCUGCCCCUUAGUAGGGACGUUGCAGCCGAGCCACCUUUUUGGCUCUUCAGGUGCCCUGCGGGUGCGGCUCCGAUGGAUUGCAGGCUGGCUCCGAUGGCAGUGGCUCGCCGCCCCCUACUUGGCCCCUAACCUACUUGCUGACAGGCCUAUUUGGCCCCUUUUUGAAGCUAUGUUUGGCUCUUUCUCGAAACCAGGGGCUAGAAAAAAAAGGUGAUGUACUAGCCCUGCAUCCUACACCCUGCACCUUUAUAUGAUCUCUGAGAACACAUGGCAAGAGUCGGAUGGCCUCUUUCGAGGCAACCCUGAAAGUCCUUCCUUCCAAUAUCUUUUUUCCUUUUAAUCUCUUCUUUGUUCUUAAAUGCUUUGCCUUUUAAGGCCUGUUUUGUUUUGCUUUCCUACUCCUUCGUUUUAAAAUGUUUUGCCUCCGAGGUAAUGAUGUCAGGUUAUUGGAAUGCUCUGAACUGGCAAGCUCGAGUAAUUGGGGUUGUCUAAAUUGUGGCUGAUGUCAUGUUCGUGUUCGUGCUGGAUUAUGGCCUAUUGCCCACUCAGUCGGUUGGACGGCAUGUUCGUACGAACAAGCAGUCACCUGUUUACGCUGGGUUUCGUGUUCCUACUAUAUAUCGCCAAAUUUCCCUCACUGGUAUUCACCGUGUUGCCUGAGCCUUGCUGUUAACAUAAAGUUCACCUCGAGCUUGCCUAUUCAAGUGAUGCCAGCGGUAACCCAAUAUGUGGUCGCCUAGCGACCUUGCCUGAGCCU